GUGUCAGCCGCCGCGGUAAUACGGAGGGUGCGAGCGUUAAUCGGAAUUACUGGGCGUAAAGGGCGCGUAGGCGGUCGCGCAAGUCGGGUGUGAAAGCCCCGGGCUCAACCUGGGAAUUGCAUUCGAUACUGCGUAACUAGAGUCUGGUAGAGGGAAGCGGAAUUCCGCAUGUAGCGGUGAAAUGCGUAGAUAUGCGGAGGAACACCAGUGGCGAAGGCGGCUUCCUGGACCAAGACUGACGCUGAGGCGCGAAAGCGUGGGGAGCAAACAGGAUUAGAUACCCUGGUAGUCCACGCCCUAAACGAUGAGGACUAGACGUUGGGGGGAUAAAACCCUUUAGUGUCGCAGCUAACGCGUGAAGUCCUCCGCCUGGGGAGUACGGCCGCAAGGUUGAAACUCAAAGGAUUAGGUCGG
This 414-nucleotide ribosomal RNA is filed under the name uncultured bacterium. RNAcentral describes it as "bacterial SSU rRNA". It matches the Rfam family "Bacterial small subunit ribosomal RNA", at positions 505 to 917 of the family's 1533-position model. The record is from RNAcentral.